This 423-nucleotide ribosomal RNA is filed under the name uncultured bacterium. Its description in RNAcentral is "bacterial SSU rRNA". It matches the Rfam family "Bacterial small subunit ribosomal RNA", at positions 207 to 622 of the family's 1533-position model. The record is from RNAcentral.
AAGACCUUGCACUUUUGGAGCGGCCGAUGUCUGAUUAGCUAGUUGGUGGGGUAAUGGCCUACCAAAGCUUCGAUCAGUAGCUGGUCUGAGAGGACGGCCAGCCACACUGGGACUGAGACACGGCCCAGACUCCUACGGGAGGCAGCAGUGGGGAAUUUUGGACAAUGGGCGCAAGCCUGAUCCAGCCAUGCCGCGUGAGUGAAGAAGGCCUUCGGGUUGUAAAGCUCUUUCAGCCGGGAAGAAAAGGUUGCGACUAAUAAUCGCAAUCCAUGACGGUACCGAGAGAAGAAGCACCGGCUAACUACGUGCCAGCAGCCGCGGUAAUACGUAGGGUGCGAGCGUUAAUCGGAAUUACUGGGCGUAAAGGGUGCGCAGGCGGUUUUGUAAGUCAGAUGUGAAAUCCCCGGGCUUAACCUGGGAACU